CAACGUUUGGUUGGUUUUGUCUAUCUGUCCUCAGUGCUGGUUUAUAAAACGGUGAUUUAUUGGCGAACUCAUCAAAGCCAAGGUUUGACGAGUUCAGAGCAACAGAAAUUUGCCAGAUAUAUAAUAUAUCUUCAACAAUGAAGUGGGGACGUGUUGUGCUGCAACUGCUGCUGAUUUCUGCAAUCCUGUCCAUAGUGACUGUAGCGGAGGAAUCCACAACAGAAGCAGCUGCUACUACUGCUGGUGGUGGUGAAGGUGGUGCUCAAGAGACAACGACUAAGUCCGGAUCAGCUAUGCUGUCGGCGGCAGUGACCAUGUCAAUAUUCGGAAGCGUAGUCGCCAUGCUUACGAAAUAGGAACAAGGAAAACACCUGUUAAACAGCUUACUGGAUCGACUGACUUUGUAGAUAUAAUCUGCUCGUUUUCCUCCUUUUAAAGUAUCUGCAUCGUUUUAUUAUGUUGGAGUGCAGGAUGUGUAGGUGAAAGCUUAUGCUAUGACUGCUGUUGUUGCAUAAUCGCGCAUUUAGCGAUACAAGUUAAAAUAAAUAUC
Molecule: long non-coding RNA, 550 nt
Organism: Gigantopelta aegis
Lineage: Eukaryota; Metazoa; Mollusca; Gastropoda; Neomphalida; Peltospiridae
Exons: 4
Source: RefSeq, a predicted model, not a curated record